AUCCAAUGAGACUGCUCAGUUACUAAGGUCACGAACAUAGUAAUCUAAUGAUAUCGGCCAGCCAUAGCCUACAAAGACUGUAGGCUAUGGUGUGAACUAAUAGGAAUUGAAUGAAAAAGGAACAACCAUUAUGUUCAAGUUAAAAUCAACAGCACAGACAGAAGGAGACAUACCAAAAACCGAACAUGCUGAUCGUUCUCAGGCAGAAGGAGAAACACAAUCAGCCAAAGUUGCAGGUUAUUUAUUGAGAGCCCUUGCACAUGCCACAAACCCAGAUAUACAGCUAACAGCUGAUAAUGUGAAAGAUGACAUAAUCAUUGCCCCGCGGGACAUCAAUUUUUCAAACCCCCAUA
This 353-nucleotide long non-coding RNA is filed under the name Androctonus crassicauda. The record is from RNAcentral. Lineage: Eukaryota; Metazoa; Arthropoda; Arachnida; Scorpiones; Buthidae.